GCGGCCUAUCAGCUUGUUGGUGAGGUAAUGGCUCACCAAGGCGACGACGGGUAGCCGGCCUGAGAGGGCGACCGGCCACACUGGGACUGAGACACGGCCCAGACUCCUACGGGAGGCAGCAGUGGGGAAUAUUGGGCAAUGGACGAAAGUCUGACCCAGCGACGCCGCGUGCGGGAUGAAGGCCUUCGGGUUGUAAACCUCUUUCAGCAGGGAAUAAGCGCAAGUGACGGUACCUGCAGAAGAAGCACCGGCUAACUAUGUGCCAGCAGCCGCGGUAAUACAUAGGGUGCAAGCGUUGUCCGGAAUUAUUGGGCGUAAAGAGCUCGUAGGUGGUUUGUYACGUCGGUUGUGAAAUUCAGGGGCUCAACCCCGGACCUGCAUUCGAUACGGGCAAGCUAGAGUUUGGUAGGGGAGACUGGAAUUCCU
Molecule: ribosomal RNA, 426 nt
Filed under: uncultured Actinomycetes bacterium
Lineage: Bacteria; Bacillati; Actinomycetota; Actinomycetes
Description: bacterial SSU rRNA
Rfam family: Bacterial small subunit ribosomal RNA
Source: RNAcentral